GUGGGGAAUCUUGCGCAAUGGGCGAAAGCCUGACGCAGCCAUGCCGCGUGAAUGAUGAAGGUCUUAGGAUUGUAAAAUUCUUUCACCGGGGACGAUAAUGACGGUACCCGGAGAAGAAGCUCCGGCUAACUUCGUGCCAGCAGCCGCGGUAAUACGAAGGGGGCUAGCGUUGCUCGGAAUUACUGGGCGUAAAGGGCGCGUAGGCGGACAGCUUAGUCAGAGGUGAACGCCCAGGGCUCAACCUUGGAAUUGCCUUUGAUACUGGCUGUCUGGAGUUUGGGAGAGGUGAGUGGAAGUCCGAGUGUAGAGGUGAAAUUCGUAGAUAUUCGGAAGAACACCAGUGGCGAAGGCGACCCACUGGCCCAAUACUGACGCUGAGGCGCGAAAGCGUGGGGAGCAAACAGGAUUAGAUACCCCAGUAGUCC
This 425-nucleotide ribosomal RNA is filed under the name uncultured bacterium. Its description in RNAcentral is "partial 16S ribosomal RNA". It matches the Rfam family "Bacterial small subunit ribosomal RNA", at positions 354 to 796 of the family's 1533-position model. The record is from RNAcentral.